RNAcentral lists this ribosomal RNA (510 nucleotides) under uncultured Bacteroidales bacterium. Its description in RNAcentral is "bacterial SSU rRNA". It matches the Rfam family "Bacterial small subunit ribosomal RNA", at positions 1 to 507 of the family's 1533-position model. The record is from RNAcentral. Lineage: Bacteria; Pseudomonadati; Bacteroidota; Bacteroidia; Bacteroidales.
UAGAGUUUGAUCCUGGCUCAGGAUGAACGCUAGCGGCAGGCUUAACACAUGCAAGUCGAGGGGCAUCGGGAGGGAAGCUUGCUUUCCUUGCCGGCGACCGGCGCACGGGUGAGUAACACGUAUGCAACCUGCCCUCUUCAGGGGGACAACCUUCCGAAAGGGAGGCUAAUCCCGCGUAUAUCGGUUUCGGGCAUCCGAGAUCGAGGAAAGAUUCAUCGGAAGAGGAUGGGCAUGCGGCGCAUUAGCUUGACGGCGGGGUAACGGCCCACCGUGGCGACGAUGCGUAGGGGUUCUGAGAGGAAGGUCCCCCACACUGGUACUGAGACACGGACCAGACUCCUACGGGAGGCAGCAGUGAGGAAUAUUGGUCAAUGGGAGAGACCCUGAACCAGCCAAGCCGCGUGAGGGAAGACGGCCCUAUGGGUUGUAAACCUCUUUUGUCGGAGAACAAAACCCGGGACGUGUCCCGGACUGCGUGUAUCCGAAGAAAAAGCAUCGGCUAACUCCGUG